Oryzias melastigma (Indian medaka) is the source of this 885-nucleotide long non-coding RNA. RefSeq lists it as uncharacterized. The transcript has 2 exons. The record is from RefSeq and is a predicted model, not a curated record. NCBI's taxonomy places the organism in Eukaryota, Metazoa, Chordata, Actinopteri, Beloniformes, Adrianichthyidae.
CUGAACAAGCAAAAUAAAUAAAUAAAACAUAAAAUAAUCCUUACUGCUACAUUUUGUUAACAUUUACUCAUUAUUCAGAAUGAAAUCUUCUUCUGCUUUCUAAUCAUCAAACGCAGCUUGCAGAAGCAAAAAUAAUGCUGCAUGAGUUCAAUACAAAUUUUAAAUAAAUAAACAUUAUUUUUUAAUGUGGUAAAAAAGAAGCCCACUGGGUAAAACAUAGAAAUAUAUUCAAGCUGAAACCAACAGAGUGAUGAGGUUAUUGUUUAGAGAAAUACAUGGCUAAAAAAAGAAAGGGAACACCUAAACACUUCAAUGUUACUCCAAGUCAAUCACACUUCUGUGUAAUCAAACUGUCCAAUCAGGAAGCAACACUAAAUGACAAUCAGUUUCACCUGUUUUUGUGCAAAUGGAAUAGACAACAGGUGGAAAUAAUAGUCAAUCAGCGAGACGUCUCCAUUAAAGGAUUGCUUCUACAAGUGGCGACCACAGAAAGCUUCUCUGUUCUUAUGUUUUCUGGCUGAUGUUUUGGUGACUUUUGAAUGCCGACUCAUCAAAUUGAGCAGAUUUGGAACAUCAUGUCUCGGUCCAUCAACCAACGCCAGGUCACCCCGCAGACUGUCCAGGAGUUGGUGGAUGCUUUGGUUCAGGAGCUUCUUCUUGAGGAUACUCCAGAACAACAGACUGAGUGAACAUAUCAAGUUGAUAACUGAAUUCACGUCACAUUUGGACUGUAAGAAAUAAAACACAUGUUUUAAGUAAAACAAACCUAGUUAUUUAAAAAUAUUUUUCAAACGGAAAAGUUACACAGUAUUUGUUUUAUGUUUCAUUUUAGAGACCAAGAUGUUUUCAAUUCUUCAUAAGCUGCAUAAAUAUCUAAUUAUCCAA